Molecule: ribosomal RNA, 253 nt
Filed under: uncultured bacterium
Lineage: Bacteria
Description: partial 16S ribosomal RNA
Rfam family: Bacterial small subunit ribosomal RNA
Source: RNAcentral
UACGUAGGCUGCGAGCGUUGUUCGGAUUUACUGGGCGUAAAGGGUGUGUAGGCGGUUGUUUCAGUUUGGUGUGAAAUCUCCCGGCUCAACUGGGAGGGUGCGCCGAAUACUGAGCGACUAGAGUGCGGGAGAGGAAAGUGGAAUUCCUGGUGUAGCGGUGAAAUGCGUAGAUAUCAGGAGGAACACCGGUGGUGUAGACGGCUUUCUGGACCGUAACUGACGCUGAGACACGAAAGCGUGGGUAGCAAACAGG